AGGGCAUAGCUUCCUCCUAGGAUGCUGGUAAGGUAGAGGAGAAAGGUUUCAUACCUGCUAUCGCGGAAACAUCAUGGAGCCCCCUGAUAUCAAUAACUAUUAUUUAUAGAGCACUCACUACUGUGAUAAGCUUAUUCAUUUAUGGUGUAACUUUCAUAUUAAAAUUUCCCCUAAUAUAUUUUC
Molecule: small RNA, 183 nt
Filed under: Neogale vison (American mink)
Lineage: Eukaryota; Metazoa; Chordata; Mammalia; Carnivora; Mustelidae
Description: Neovison vison (American mink) Disrupted in schizophrenia 2 conserved region (ENSNVIG00000021234.1)
Source: RNAcentral